Molecule: long non-coding RNA, 4648 nt
Organism: Acinonyx jubatus (cheetah)
Lineage: Eukaryota; Metazoa; Chordata; Mammalia; Carnivora; Felidae
Exons: 5
Source: RefSeq, a predicted model, not a curated record
UGGCCCCGUUUUUGUUUUCUCCUCCAUCGACCCUUGCCAUGGAUCGGUGCUUCUCAAAGGAGGGCCCAGCAACACUGGCUUCACCUGGAAGCUUGUCAGACCUGCAGGGUCGAGGGCCACCUCAAGAUCACUGAAUCCAUCUGAGUUUCAAGAGGGUUCUCCAGAUGAUUCGUUUGCAGUUAAAGCUCACCCACCAGCCAUCACUCAUUGCCUCAAAACAGCAUCCGCCGCGUGCCAGGUGCCCCAGGUGCCAUGAUGGAAACAGGCGCGUGCAUUGAAGACCGAAUAUAUACGCCUAACCGGCCACAGGGGACGUCUGCUUCUAGCUCGCUGCCCUCAGCCCCCACCCAGGGCUCACACGGAGCCUUCUCCCUGCCCGUGAGGCUUUGCCCAAACCCCCGAGCGACGGUGGCUGACCUCCUCCUCCUCGUUGUCAUCAGCUGUCGCUAAAUACCUUUGCUCCUUCCCCCUUGGGUGGUCUUCCUCUAUUUCUGCACUUGUUAGGAACAAAAUGCCAGCCCACAGGCGCAUUGCAGGAGGAAACGUACGUGUGUGCGUAUGUGUGCCUGUGUGUGUGAGUGAGUGAGUGACCCCGGGAUAAGAAGGAAGAGCAGAGAACACGCCUGUUCCUUUACUCCCGUGUUUUGUGCAACGAAGGUUCCCCACGGAUGUAGGGGCGGGUGUGGCAACAGGCAAAGCCGGUCUCCCCUGGCUUCUGUCGGCUCAGCUGGACCACAUUUCCCAGCCUGCCUUGCAGUCCGGCGAGGCCCUAGGCCUGAGGCCUGCCUCUGGAAUGUGGGAGGAAGUGAGGCACACAGCUGCCGAGUCUGGCUCCUGGAAACUUCCAGAAAUCCUCUACACUCUCCCGUUCCUCACCUGCUGGUCAGAUGCAGAGGGUCUGGUGGGGACUCGAAGGAGCCGGCGAUGGUGGGGCCAUGACGUAGAAGGAUGCUGGUGGCCCAGGGACAGUGUGGCUCAGAACCCUGCCAGUCGGCCUAGGACAUCCGUGAUGUGAGCGAGGGGCACGGCUGGGUCGUGGUCCUGCCCUCUCCACGGCCGUGGGGACUCCUCUCCAGCCUGGAGAAAUGAUGAUCCAGGACCAGGCCUGUCCCCCAACCCCUGGUGAGGCACCCGGGGGCUCAGACACAGCCCCUAGGAACGGUGGAGCGGUCAUAAGUCAGAUUGCAUGCCCGGCGUGGAGCCCAAUGUGGGGCUUGAACUCACGACCCUGAGAUCAAGACCUGAGCUGAGAUCAAGAGUUGGAUGCCUAACUGACUGAGCCACCCAGACGCCCCGAGGAAAACUGACGUUUAGGAAACCAAAUUGUUAUUCUAUGAAAAUACAUUUCAGUUGAGGGUAUUCACCCUGAGAGAGAAGCUGAGUGUUUGUAACUCGUAGAAAGCACUGAAUUCGUUCAAUGGAAACAGAAACCUAUUAUUACAGCACUUGGAGAUCUCCCGAGAACACAUCCAGACACGAAGAGUGCUGGUUUUAUUACGUGCUAAAACAAAGAUACAAUGCACGCGUGCGCGCGCGCACACACACACACGAACACCCUCCUGGCAUCAGGGCUAUAGCAGAAUGAAAGUUGGAACUUCCCCAGGCAAAGCAAGGACACUCUUAUCAAACCACUGACCCGUGUGCUCGCUUCGGCAGCACACACGAAACCACUGACCUCUUCAGUCGGUCGUGCACUAGGGGUGAAGACAAGAAGGGAAGAGAAGUAAGUCGAACUGUCCAGCCUCAAAACGAAGAAGCCAGAGAAAGUUGGAGGCGGUGGAACUGUCUCCUGGUGCGGGCGGGGCUCCACGUUGGUGGCUGGGAAGCAGUUGUAGGAAAGCCUAAGGGGACCCGUGGUCUCUUGCGUGGGCACGUUCAUCUGUCUGCACGCUUCUUACGUGCCAGAAGUACCUUCUGGUCUUGGUAAACAUGACACCGUGUUUAGGCGGAGCCUCGUCCUAGGACUUGCCGUUUGGGGUACUGGCUGCAAGUGUGAGAACCCAGUUUUUAAACUCCUCCCUGAUUUUGUUGUCUAAGCAGGUCUCGUUCUGCCUUAUGACUUCUCCUAACUUUCCGAGGUCCUGAUUAAACACCUUAAUUUUCUGAAAAUGAGAGAGAGUCAUCGAUCUGAGCCGUAACCGCAUUAAAGAGCUGGGACCUGCCUGGGGCAGCAGCGUGUGGUGUUGGGCUGGGGGCCGCGAGAGGAUCCCAUCGGCCACCCAACCAUCCCAUCUCUCAGGCAAGACAAAUGGAGGGGAGCUCCUGCGUAACGGGGCGGCCAGCAUGCCACAGGCAGGGACGCGAGGAGGGCCAUCUCAGGAUGUGCUGGGCCACCAGGAAGGUUGCGGCCGUCUAAAGGGAGCGGGUGACAGAGAAGCCAGUUUCUGUGCCUGAGUGUCACCUGGAGUCCCCGGGAAUCCUCAUGGAUCAGAAAGAACAUUUUAUCCGCUUCAUUGCUGGGGAUGCCGCCUCCACACAGGUGCGGCCUCUCUGUCGCCCUCUGGUGGCUGUCCCUGAUUUGCUUUUCUAACGACGGGAGUGAUUUCUGAACAAAACAAUAGUGAACGAUGACACUCCACAGCUUGAUGGAAUUGGCCGACAGAUUUCUUCGAUACGUGGGCCAAAUCCCCUGUGACAGCAUUCGAGGGGAUCCGGAAUUUCUAUUUUUGUGCGAAGUUCGCUAAGACGGGCCCCUGUUGUGGCGCCUGGGUGGCUCAGCUGGUUAAGUGUCCAAUGCUUGACAUGGGCUCAGGUUAUGAUCUCGCGGAUUCGUGAGAUCAAGCCCCGUGUUGGCCUCUGCACUGACAGUGUGGAGCCUGCUUGGGAUUCUCUUUCUCCCUCUCUCUCUCUCUCUCUCUCCCCCUCGACUCCACCUUCUCUCUCUCUGUCUCAAAAUAAACAAACAUUUGUAAAAAAUGUUUAAGAUGGACACCUGUUGAAGAGCCCAAGGAUGGCUUUGCAUGCAAUACAGCUCGAAUGACCCGGUGUGCAGUUUUGUUAUGUCACUGGAGUGGGGAAGUGCCAAGAAGCGGCCGGGCUUGGGUUUGGCUUUGCGCUUUGUAUUUAGAGAACAAGUACACUUGAAAAUAACGUAAGCUUUCUUUACGAAAGUGCUCUGUCAGUGAUAAUUUGAGUGUUAUAAACUGAUAAAUGGCUCUUUGGUAGGGGACGUGACCUGGAUAUUGGUGGCAGGCGGGGUACAGUCCUAACCAAUCAACGAUGGCGAUGAUAAUGAAGGGGAGGAGAAGGAAGGACACAGAGAGGCACCACAGAGGGUUGUCUUUGGGCCAAGCACCCUCCACACCUCAGUUAAGCGCCGCCCCCCCCCCCCCCCCCAACUGCAGGACAAAGCACGUGGCUCGGUUGCUUCUCUGUUUUACAAAGAGGAAUCUAAGGCUCAGAGAGGCUAAUUGCCAGAUACCGUCACGGAGCGAGUCAGUGGUGGAGGGUCCCAGGGCACACCCAGCUCACUGCCUCCGCAGCCUGUGCAGGUGGACACGGACGCCUGAGUGCCCAGCGGGCCCAGCCUCUGCCUUGGCGAAUGAGGUCCCCGAGCCAGGCGGGAGGAGUGUGUUGGGGUCUGGAGGCAGUUUGUGGAUUACAUACCAAGGCCUCGUAAAAUGCGGAUGACGUUGGAUGACACCAGGAAGUCAUAAGGUCUCACAGGUGCCUUGGGGGGGGAGGGGCAGUUUGAAUCUAUAGUCGGAAAUGUAUGAGAUUGUUUCCUGAUCCUUCAAAUCAUCAUUAUCAUAAUCGUUAUGAAUUUUUAAAAAUUAAAAUAUCACAAAUGUAAAAUGAAAGUUUGAAUGUAGACGAUUUAAAUAUUGUGAAAUGUACUAUCAAAAACGGCUAUCAAAAUGCAACGUCUUUUUGCAAAACACCAAGGUUUUUGUCAGUUCAACAAGGUUGUGUCUUUUAGACAGGGAUACGUCUUUCGAAGCCCUCUUCUGUGAACUGAGGGGAAUCCCACUAGAGUUGGGGCUCCUCAAGGUAUGUUCCCUGGAUCACCUGGGAAGUUAGAAGGGCAAACUCAUUGCCCCCUCAUCCCCCCGAUUUAUUGACCCAGAAACUUGGAUUGGGACCCAGGAAUCUGAAUUUAAAUAAACUUUCCAGGUGAUUCUUUUUUUUAAAUUUUUUCAGUGUUUACUAAUUUUUGAGUGACAGAGACAGAGCAUGAGCAGGGGAGGAGCAGAGAGAGAGGGAGACACAGAAUCCGAAACAGGCUCCAGGCUCCGAGGUGUCAGCACAGAGCCCGACGCGGGGCUCGAACUCAGAUCAUAACCUGAGCCCAAGCUGGUGCUUAACCGACUGAGCCGCCCAGUCGCCCCCAGGUGAUUCUUGUGCACAUUGCAGUUGGAGAACCACUGGCUUCUUUCUUCCAACUCAAUGUUCUUGGGAGUACAUGUUUCCUGGCUCAGAAGAAUUCGUUGCUUUUGUCUGACAGGCUGGGAAAAUAACUGGCUGUUUCACUGUCAAGGUCGACAAAGUGUGAACCUGUUGCAAAAGGAUACAUUUGCUGAGUCAGUGUUCAUUCCUUUUGCCCUCCUAAAUGGUUUAUAGUUUUCUUCCUUCCCUUCUUGCUUCCCAGAUUGAUCGGCUCUGCGUUUCGACAUUAGGCAGUUGUUACUUCCCAGUUUCGGAAGCUCCC